ACGGGAGGCAGCAGUGGGGAAUAUUGCACAAUGGGGGAAACCCUGAUGCAGCGAUGCCGCGUGGAGGAAGAAGGUUUUCGGAUUGUAAACUCCUGUCUUAAAGGACGAUAAUGACGGUACUUUAGGAGGAAGCUCCGGCUAACUACGUGCCAGCAGCCGCGGUAAUACGUAGGGAGCGAGCGUUGUCCGGAAUUACUGGGUGUAAAGGGAGCGUAGGCGGGAUUGCAAGUCAGAUGUGAAAACUAUGGGCUUAACCCAUAGACUGCAUUUGAAACUGUAGUUCUUGAGUGAAGUAGAGGUAAGCGGAAUUCCUGGUGUAGCGGUGAAAUGCGUAGAUAUCAGGAGGAACACCAGUGGCGAAGGCGGCUUACUGGACUGUAACUGACGUUGAGGCUCGAAAGCGUGGGGAGCAAACAGGAUUAGAUACCCUGGUA
RNAcentral lists this ribosomal RNA (434 nucleotides) under uncultured Ruminococcus sp. RNAcentral describes it as "partial 16S ribosomal RNA". It matches the Rfam family "Bacterial small subunit ribosomal RNA", at positions 341 to 792 of the family's 1533-position model. The record is from RNAcentral. Lineage: Bacteria; Bacillati; Bacillota; Clostridia; Eubacteriales; Oscillospiraceae.